This 61-nucleotide transfer RNA is filed under the name Toxocara vitulorum. Its description in RNAcentral is "tRNA-Lys". It matches the Rfam family "tRNA". From Rfam's summary of the family: Transfer RNA (tRNA) molecules are approximately 80 nucleotides in length. Their secondary structure includes four short double-helical elements and three loops (D, anti-codon, and T loops). Lineage: Eukaryota; Metazoa; Nematoda; Chromadorea; Rhabditida; Toxocaridae. The record is from RNAcentral.
GAGGUGUUAACUUAAGUUUAAAGUGUUAGACUUUUAAUCUAAAGAUGGUUUUCACGCCUUG